UACAGAGGGGGCAAGCGUUGUUCGGAAUUACUGGGCGUAAAGGGCGCGUAGGCGGCCCGCUAAGUCGAACGUGAAAUCCCUGGGCUCAACCCAGGAACUGCGUCCGAUACUGGCAGGCUUGAAUCCGGGAGAGGGAUGUGGAAUUCCAGGUGUAGCGGUGAAAUGCGUAGAUAUCUGGAGGAACACCGGUGGCGAAGGCGGCAUCCUGGACCGGCAUUGACGCUGAGGCGCGAAAGCCAGGGGAGCAAACGGG
RNAcentral lists this ribosomal RNA (253 nucleotides) under uncultured bacterium. RNAcentral's name for it is "partial 16S ribosomal RNA". It matches the Rfam family "Bacterial small subunit ribosomal RNA", at positions 524 to 776 of the family's 1533-position model. The record is from RNAcentral.